This 446-nucleotide ribosomal RNA is filed under the name uncultured bacterium. RNAcentral's name for it is "partial 16S ribosomal RNA". It matches the Rfam family "Bacterial small subunit ribosomal RNA", at positions 338 to 795 of the family's 1533-position model. The record is from RNAcentral.
CCUACGGGUGGCAGCAGUCGAGAAUCAUUCACAAUGGGGGAAACCCUGAUGGUGCGACGCCGCGUGGGGGAAUGAAGGUCUUCGGAUUGUAAACCCCUGUCAUGUGGGAGCAAAUUAAAAAGAUAGUACCACAAGAGGAAGAGACGGCUAACUCUGUGCCAGCAGCCGCGGUAAUACAGAGGUCUCAAGCAUUGUUCGGAAUCACUGGGCGUAAGGCGUGCGUAGGCUGUUUCGUAAGUCGUGUGUGAACGUCGCGGGCUCAACCCGCGGACGGCACAUGAUACUGCGAGACUAGAGUAAUGGAGGGGGAACCGGAAUUCUCGGUGUAGCAGUGAAAUGCGUAGAUAUCGAGAGGAACACUCGUGGCGAAGGCGGGUUCCUGGACAUUAACUGACGCUGAGGCACGAAGGCCAGGGGAGCGAAAGGGAUUAGAUACCCUUGUAGUC